RNAcentral lists this ribosomal RNA (519 nucleotides) under uncultured Pseudomonadota bacterium. RNAcentral's name for it is "bacterial SSU rRNA". It matches the Rfam family "Bacterial small subunit ribosomal RNA", at positions 8 to 522 of the family's 1533-position model. Lineage: Bacteria; Pseudomonadati; Pseudomonadota. The record is from RNAcentral.
AGAGUUUGAUCAUGGCUCAGAUUGAACGCUGGCGGCAUGCUUUACACAUGCAAGUCGAACGGCAGCACGGGGGCAACCCUGGUGGCGAGUGGCGAACGGGUGAGUAAUGCAUCGGAACGUAUCCUUAAGUGGGGGAUAACGCAUCGAAAGAUGCGCUAAUACCGCAUAAUCUCUGAGGAGAAAAGCAGGGGAUCGCAAGACCUCGCGCUUUUGGAGCGGCCGAUGUCUGAUUAGCUAGUUGGUGAGGUAAAGGCUUACCAAGGCUUCGAUCAGUAGCUGGUCUGAGAGGACGACCAGCCACACUGGGACUGAGACACGGCCCAGACUCCUACGGGAGGCAGCAGUGGGGAAUUUUGGACAAUGGGGGAAACCCUGAUCCAGCCAUGCCGCGUGAGUGAAGAAGGCCUUCGGGUUGUAAAGCUCUUUCAGCCGGAACGAAAAGGUUACGGUUAAUACCCGUGACUAAUGACGGUACCGGAAGAAGAAGCACCGGCUAACUACGUGCCAGCAGCCGCGGUA